CAGCCCAGCUGCUGGCUCUGACUCCCAGAAGUCUGCCCCUUCCCCUCGAGGGCCCCCAGUGCCUGGAGUGCCGCUACUUGGCCGUGUGACCCCUCUACGGGCCUGUUUCCUAAUCUGUAGUAGAGGGCCCACGGCAUCUCCCACAGGGUCUCCGUGAUGGGGGAAGGAGCGGGGAACUACCUUGGUCUGUGCAACUCCCGGAGCCCCGCCCGGUUACUUGGGUGAGUUGGCUCCCCAGGCUUUUGAGAUACCUGCCUUUUGUCCAGCACUGCAUCGUCCUCGCAUAUCCAAGGCUGUGUCUCCCUUCAGCAUCACCACUCGGCUUUUAGCAGACUGAAGCCAUGGUUUUUAGUUUUGUCUCUAGUGAUGAGCAGAAAAGAGGGAUGAGGAAGAGGCUUUACUGGUCCAACCAGAAAGAGAAGCUAAGAACCCAUGACUGGAUUCUCUCCCUUGGACACCCCACAGACCAAUAUCUCACCUUCCAGGAGAAGACCCUUCCAGCUCUUGCUUCUUUAAACCUAUUAACUUAGUUUUCUUUAGCUAGACUCCCAAACAUCAGCUUUUACAAUUCAGCCUAUGGUUCAAUCACUAUGGCAAGAUAAACAUUUGUUUAGGUGUGAAACACCACUGGCUAUCUUUGGGUUUUGUAAUCUACCCUCUUGAGGUUGCAGGAGCUACUGUGAAACCUUACUGCAUCCAUGGUCAUGAUAGAGAUGGUGACUCUAAGGUGAGCCCUGAAUAAAGCCCUCAUCUGAAGCUCCCCUCGAAUGCAGGGACCCAGGCUCUGAAGAGCCUCACAGAAAGCUGGCUACCUUGGAUGCAAAACUGUAAAGGUUACGUGUUUACAAUGAGUCUUAAAAGAAGCAUGACCUGGCCAGGUGCGUGGCUCAUGCUUGUAAUCCCAGCACUUUGGGAGGCCAAGGCAGGUGGAUCACAAGGUCAAGAGAUCAAGACCAUCCUGGCCAACAUGGUGAAACCCCGUCUCUACUAAAAAUACAAAAAAUUAGCCGGGUGUGGUGGCAGGCGCCUGUAAUCCCAGCUACUUGGGAGGCCGAGGCAGAAGAAUUGCUUGAACCCGGGAGGUGGAGAUGGCAGUGAGCUGAGAUCGCACCAUUGGAGUCCAGCCUGGGCAAAAAGAGCGAAACUCUGUCUCAAAAAAAAAAAAAAAAGUAUUACCUAAUAUGCAACCUUCCACAUCUGGGGAAAAAUGAGAGUAGAACAUUUUGGGCAUGGGGUAGAACACCAUAUCUUGAGUGAUAUAUUCUAACAUCAUUUAAAUUGGUAUAUUGUAUUAGUAUGGGGUAAUACAUUCCAAAUGAUGGAUAAUUUCCCCCUUUUCAUCUAUGUGUCUCUGACCACUGCCAAUGCUUAUACUUAGUGAUGUUUUUAGAUGAUUACUAAUAACAGAUGGUAAUCAGCUUUUCUUGAAAAUGCACUGCUGACUUCCUGUGUUACCUUAAAUAGACAGCUGAACGCAACAAUUACACUGACUGCAUGCUUUAUUCUAAGACGUGAAAGAAU
Molecule: long non-coding RNA, 1521 nt
Filed under: Homo sapiens (human)
Lineage: Eukaryota; Metazoa; Chordata; Mammalia; Primates; Hominidae
Description: HSALNT0329564
Source: RNAcentral